RNAcentral lists this ribosomal RNA (423 nucleotides) under uncultured Glomeraceae. Its description in RNAcentral is "SSU rRNA". It matches the Rfam family "Eukaryotic small subunit ribosomal RNA", at positions 459 to 878 of the family's 1831-position model. The record is from RNAcentral. Lineage: Eukaryota; Fungi; Glomeromycota; Glomeromycetes; Glomerales; Glomeraceae.
GGGAGGUAGUGACAAUAAAUAACAAUACGGGGCUCUUUCGGGUCUCGUAAUUGGAAUGAGUACAAUUUAAAUCUCUUAACGAGGAACAAUUGGAGGGCAAGUCUGGUGCCAGCAGCCGCGGUAAUUCCAGCUCCAAUAGCGUAUAUUAAAGUUGUUGCAGUUAGAAAGCUCGUAGUUGAAUUUCGGGAUCAGCAAGUUGGUCGUGCCUCUGGUACGUACUGGCUUUACUGGUUCCUCCUUCUUGAAGAACUGUAAUGUCAUUAAUUUGGUGUUGCAGGGAAACAGGACUGUUACUUUGAAAAAAUUAGAGUGUUUAAAGCAAGCUAACGCUUGAAUACAUUAGCAUGGAAUAAUGAAAUAGGACGUUUGAUCCUAUUUUGUUGGUUUCUAGGAUUUUUUUUUUGACGUAAUGAUUAAUAGGGA